RNAcentral lists this ribosomal RNA (183 nucleotides) under uncultured bacterium. RNAcentral describes it as "partial 16S ribosomal RNA". It matches the Rfam family "Bacterial small subunit ribosomal RNA", at positions 1320 to 1500 of the family's 1533-position model. The record is from RNAcentral.
AUGAAGCCGGAAUCGCUAGUAAUCGCGGAUCAGAAUGCCGCGGUGAAUACGUUCCCGGGUCUUGUACACACCGCCCGUCACACCAUGGGAGUCGGAAAUGCCCGAAGCCGGUGACCCAGCCCGAAAGGGAGGGAGCCGUCGAAGGCAGGUCGGAUGACUGGGGUGAAGUCGUAACAAGGUACC